Molecule: ribosomal RNA, 130 nt
Filed under: uncultured bacterium
Lineage: Bacteria
Description: partial 16S ribosomal RNA
Rfam family: Bacterial small subunit ribosomal RNA
Source: RNAcentral
CCCGGGUCUUGUACACACCGCCCGUCACACCAUGGGAGCGGGAAUGUACCAGAAGUAGGUAGGCUAACCGCUAAGGGGCCGCUUACCACGGUGCGUUCGUGACUGGGGUGAAGUCGUAAACAAGGUACCC